This 424-nucleotide ribosomal RNA is filed under the name uncultured bacterium. RNAcentral describes it as "bacterial SSU rRNA". It matches the Rfam family "Bacterial small subunit ribosomal RNA", at positions 355 to 796 of the family's 1533-position model. The record is from RNAcentral.
UGGGGAAUAUUGGACAAUGGGCGCAAGCCUGAUCCAGCAAUGCCGCGUGAGUGAGGAAGGCCUUAGGGUUGUAAAGCUCUUUCGGCGGGGACGAUGAUGACGGUACCCGCAGAAGAAGCCCCGGCUAACUUCGUGCCAGCAGCCGCGGUAAUACGAAGGGGGCGAGCGUUGUUCGGAUUUACUGGGCGUAAAGGGCGCGCAGGCGGCGGGAUUUGUCAGGCGUGAAAGCCCCGGGCUCAACCUGGGAACGGCGCUUGGGACGGUUCGGCUAGAGAUCGGGAGAGGAGAGUGGAAUUCCCAGUGUAGAGGUGAAAUUCGUAGAUAUUGGGAAGAACACCGGUGGCGAAGGCGGCUCUCUGGACCGAUACUGACGCUGAGGCGCGAAAGCGUGGGGAGCAAACAGGAUUAGAUACCCGCGUAGUCC